RNAcentral lists this small RNA (31 nucleotides) under Bombyx mori (domestic silkworm). RNAcentral describes it as "ovarian small RNA-2364". Lineage: Eukaryota; Metazoa; Arthropoda; Insecta; Lepidoptera; Bombycidae. The record is from RNAcentral.
UUCGCCGGAAGAGGGGCCUGAGGAGGCUCUA